This 435-nucleotide ribosomal RNA is filed under the name uncultured bacterium. RNAcentral's name for it is "bacterial SSU rRNA". It matches the Rfam family "Bacterial small subunit ribosomal RNA", at positions 74 to 507 of the family's 1533-position model. The record is from RNAcentral.
GUCCUUCGGGGACAACUUAGUGGCAACGGGUGAGUAACGCGUGAGGAACCUGCCUUUCAGUGGGGGACAACAGUUGGAAACGACUUGCUAAUACCGCAUAAAUGUUGUCGGAUGGCAUCAUCUGGCAACCAAAGCUUUANGUGCUGAAAGAUGGCCUCGCGUCUGAUUAGAUAGUUGGUGAGGUAACGGCUCACCAAGUCGACGAUCAGUAGCCGGUCUGAGAGGAUGAACGGCCACAUUGGGACUGAGAUACGGCCCAGACUCCUACGGGAGGCAGCAGUGGGGAAUAUUGGGCAAUGGAGGCAACUCUGACCCAGCCAUGCCGCGUGAAGGAUGGAGGCCCUACGGGUCGUAAACUUCUUUUGUCAGGGAAUAAAGUCACCUACGUGUAGGUGUUUGCAGGUACCUGAAGAAUAAGCAUCGGCUAACUCCGUG